Molecule: non-coding RNA, 2891 nt
Organism: Paramuricea clavata
Lineage: Eukaryota; Metazoa; Cnidaria; Anthozoa; Malacalcyonacea; Plexauridae
Source: the annotation of a GenBank genome assembly
CUCAUCUGUGGUAAAGUGCAGCCAGAACGAAUAGAAAAUGUAUUGUGAAAUUGGCAUCGCGCGCAUAAAAACUUCAUUUUUACCGGUUUUGGACACCUGAAUUCAACGUUUACGGUCGGAAAUUAAAAUUAGAAAGGUAAGAAAGUAUUAUUAUCUGUUUUAUUAGCCCUGAAAGUGUUUUUUUAAGUCAAAUUUUGUGCUCUUAAAUAUGGCUAGUUCGGCCAGCCAGACAUAAAAGAACAUAGCUUUUCGUCCCAUUUGCUGUAUGUUUUCAUUCGAAAGUAACAUGAAUAUUACUUGAAACGAAAUUUAUAAACUAUGAAAGUUACAAUCCAUGUACACUUUGACAAUUCAUGAACUCAUUCUUGCAAUAGAUAUACAGUAUCUCUGAUGUAUAUUACAGUGUCAGUAUAUAUGUCUUUUCAUCACCAUUUCUCUGCCAAGUUUAAUAAACAUGUCUUUUUAAGUUCACUGUUUUCUUGAAUUAGAUAUUUUUCUACUAAAUUUUGCCCAACUUAUUCAGAUGCAGCCCAGAUGGCAUCAAACUAUGUAGAAUAUAGUUUAUAAACUGCCAUAUGCAGGCUAGUUUAUAGAUGGCUAACUUUAAUUUAAUGUACUUUCUGCUCUUUCUUCCUUUUUUAGUUGAAGUUAGUUGAUGGUGUAAUAUAUACGCAUCCUCAGAAAAAGCUUUAACAUGUAGUCCAUAGGAAACUCUGUGCAAGAAUGGAAUGUGAUGGACACACUUUGGAGGCUCUUUAGCAAAUUAGCACCAACUAAUUUGGACCUGUUAUAUGCUGAGAAUUGCUGCACAAAAACAUCUUCUAGAUGCAGAACAAAAUCAAGGAAGUGCUGGGAUGGUAGGAUUAAUCCUUGAGAUUGUGCUCUCGUUGUAGUUCUUAUAAUAACAGUACAACAAAUUUGCAGAAUCUGCAGUUUGGGACAUGGUGGCUGGCUUCUUUGCACAAAGAGCAUUCGUGAACAGUGAAGCACUUCUUGAGAAGGUAUCUGGCAACAUAUGCAACAGCAUUUUGUUGGACAAUGCUGGAACUGACUUCUUUCUCUCUGUAGUCUGUUACUCCUAACACCAAUGUUUGUGGUUGAUGACCUGGUCUCACCAAUGCUGCAUUGUUAGAGCGGUUUGAAAGUUGGGAAAGGAGUGAAUCCAAAUCUUGUGCACAGUUACCAUUGCCAGAGGUGAAAAGAGAACUGAAGUUUCCUAAAGGCCCUAGUGAACUGUAUUGGUGUAGGGUUGUCACUAUUCCCUCCCUGUUGCCUUAUUGUACCAAAAAAGCUACAGCACUUGCAUUUUGGGUGUGGAGAAGAAAUUUUAGUUUUAAAGCAAAAGUUAACCCCUCAAUGCAAAUGACAAUUUUCUUGCAUUUUAAUUGAAAGUCAUAGUUUUCUCAAAUAUAUUUAAUUUAAUUUAUAAAAUAGGUAUUAAGUGAGUUCAGUAAUUAUAAAAAGAGAAAUCUACUUUGGACUGUUUUUGACAAUUUUGCCUGUUCUGCAAAACAAAGAUAUACACACACAAAUUGUUUGGAAAAAUAUAAAAAAAUAUAAAUAUAUUUAUUGGCAUACAAAACAUUGUCACACUCAGUUUUCACUGCAAAUAAUUUCCAUUCACUUCUUUCCCAACACUAAUAUUUCUAUCUCUGUGUGGAAAUUCCAGUCAUUUGUAACCAUAGUACUCUAUAUAGAUCUAUUGCAAUGGCAAACUUGUAAAAUAAAAUAAAAUAACCAUCAUUGUUUGAGCAAAUAACAUCCAUGAAGAUUUAUUUUAUAAAGAAAUCACAUCAUCCAAAAUUUGUAUCAGUAGCGUAGCCAGCCCGACGAUUUAGUCCCGCUAUGCAAAUAUUUUCGUGGUCAUUGACUGUGAAAACAAUCAAUUUCUAAAGAAAUGAAUAAUGGUAAUAAUUUCGAAUUUGCAUAGCGGGACUAAGUUGUCUGGCUGCGCUCUAGACAACUGGCUGCGCUCAUAGCGGGACUAAGUUGUCUGGCUCGGGCUGGCUGCGCCACUGAUUUGUAUACAAUGAUAUGUACAGUACUAAUUCUAAUAAAAGCCAGGACUAGAACUCUGAUUGUCAUCACAGCCAUUUCCUUUCUGUCAAAUGUUUUUGUGUAUAACAGGUCCAAAUUAUAAUAGUUUUGUUUGUGGAAACACCACGUAAAUUUAUUAAUUAUUAAUAAUAAAUUUACGUGGUGUUUCCACAAACAAAACUAUUAUAUUUUAUCACCAUGCAAACAUACAAAGAACUUAGGUCCAAAUUAGUUGGUGCUAAUUUGCUAAAGAGCCUCCAAAGUGUGUCCAUCACAUUCCAUUCUUGCACAGAGUUUCCUAUGGACUACAUGUUAAAGCUUUUUCUGAGGAUGCGUAUAUAUUACACCAUCAACUAACUUCAACUAAAAAAGGAAGAAAGAGCAGAAAGUACAUUAAAUUAAAGUUAGCCAUCUAUAAACUAGCCUGCAUAUAGCAGUUUAUAAACUAUAUUCUACAUAGUUUGAUGCCAUCUGGGCUGCAUCUGAAUAAGUUGGGCAAAAUUUAGUAGAAAAAUAUCUAAUUCAAGAAAACAGUGAACUUAAAAAGACAUGUUUAUUAAACUUGGCAGAGAAAUGGUGAUGAAAAGACAUAUAUACUGACACUGUAAUGGGCCAUUCCAUUUAUUAACCGCACCCCCCCUAUUGAGGGUUUACAAAAAAUACCCCCUGGAUAUUGCUUUAGUAAUAGGGUAUGUGGAUUUCUCAUUUUAACAUUUCCCGUGGAUUUUCUAAACCUUUGUUAACCUAUUGAGGGUUAAACAUAAUUUCUCCCCCUGGAUUUUUGGAUUUUGUUAAAUUUGUUCAAUGGAUAUUUUGCAUAUGUUCUUUGAAAUAGAAUUAAUACACAAAUAAAU